UCCUUGUGGUCAUUUACUGAUCGCUACGGUAUUGUUUAUACCAAGCUUGAUUUGAUCCUGAGAUGAUAGUGUGAUGUCCGAGGUUGGUAAGUGAUGCAUGUGACGGUUACCAAGUAACCCGAGCGGAAUAAGUGGUGCAUAUAGUGUCAUCAUGUUGCAUGCUAGUAUUGUUGGAUUAAUAUGUUCAUGUUGUGUUAGUUGUAUCAUGUUCAUGUUAUAUUGUUCUGAUGAUAUCAUGAUAAUCCCUGCUUAACCUAUAAUUGCCAUGCUGUUGUUUGCCUUGAAUGCUUCUGGUUAUUGUGAGCUUGCAAGUACAUUCAAUGUACUGACCUGGCGUGUCAUGCCAGUUUGUAGGUCAUUCCGGAUUUGAUUGCUUGUUUUCCGUGGAGUCCUUGUUUGCAAGCUAGGAUAAGCGUUCCAGCCAGAGUCCCUGCGGAGUGGAGUUCACCACCGUCGUUGUUGUUCCGCUGCUAGAGUUCUUCCGCUGCAUCAUGUUGUUCUGCUGCUUGCAUAGAGAAACAGUGGCAGGCGUAGUAUCGCCGUGCUGAUGUAACCAUUGUACCCAAAUAGAUUGUAAUAAAGAGCUGGUUUGUUCUAUGCUAAGCUGUGCCUAUUCCAGAAGACUUCAUCUCGAUCCCUGGGCUGGAAUACGGGGCGUUCCGGUUUUCUCUAAGCCGGGGUGCCACAGGCUUGGUAUUAGAGCAGGUCUGGUUGUAGGACACCCUAGGCCGCGCGAACGUUAGAAACCGGUAUAUAGACCCCAGUUUGUUUGUUGCACUUGAUUGAUGCAUUUGUUUGUCGCAUAGCAUGCAUAUAGAUUUUUAUUUAGUCGCUAACGGUUAAUCUUGGGAGUGUAGGUGGUAUCGGUUCCGACCCACUACCUACGCCCUCCUUCUUAUCAUGCCUGCUCUUCGGUGUGGUGCGACCACAUCAUCAUCCAUGCCCUCCAUCUCGUUCUUUUGGCAACCCUUGCUGACCUUUGUUAUCAAAAAAUGGCAAUGCCAUUAGACGCAGUCUUCCACUGUUAUCUUGCCUUGUCAUUUCAUUCUUUGGAUGGGUACUGUGACGCCCGGAUAAUCAAGCUACAGUAACCCUCCACUAACGAUGCCACGUCACCUCCAUUAAGGUUACUAAUCUCGUGUUAGUUCGAAACCGAUUCAAAUCCAAAUUCAAAAUCAAACAAAUAAUAAAAGUUUUCCAAUCUUAAAACUAAAAUGUUCGGAGUGAGCCAGAUAAUGCAUAUGUAACUAUGGAGGAGAAACCAACCUCUUUGGAAGUGUUUGAUUGUCCCAAAGUAAAUAAAAUAGUAGCAAAACAAUUAAUUAAAUGCCUUUUACGAGUGACAAAAUAUUAAACUAUUUUAUCUAGUUGCCCAAGUUUUUGUGGCAUUAGAAUAUGUAGUAACACUAUUUUAGGAACUAACUUUAUAUUUUACUAAAACUAAAGUAUAUUGGAAAUAAUAAAAAACAGUAAAGGAAAAAUAAGUAAAAAGAAAAGAAUAAAACAGAAAGCAAAAAUAAAAGAAAAGGACCCCUGCCAACUGGGCCAGAUGGCCCAGCCGGCCAACCCACCAACCGGCCCAACCCCACCUCCAUAUCCCCACCAAGGGGAAACCCUAACUCCCCCGNNNNNNNNNNNNNNNNNNNNNNNNNNNNNNNNNNNNNNNNNNNNNNNNNNNNNNNNNNNNNNNNNNNNNNNNNNNNNNNNNNNNNNNNNNNNNNNNNNNNNNNNNNNNNNNNNNNNNNNNNNNNNNNNNNNNNNNNNNNNNNNNNNNNNNNNNNNNNNNNNNNNNNNNNNNNNNNNNNNNNNNNNNNNNNNNNNNNNNNNNNNNNNNNNGAUCCAGAUCGGGAUCGGGGAAAAGAACCCCCACAUCGCCCCCGACGCUAGCGCCACCCGGAUCGCGACCUCGCGGGAGGCCACGACACCGGAGCACCCUCGCCAGCCUGCAUCCUCCUCCCUACCGGCCUACCUCCUCUUUGCCGCCUCGUCCCCAACCCCCUCCUCGACCCCGUUGCCUCGUCCUCUGCUGUCCACGGUGAGGCCCUCGGCCUCUUCUUCCCCUCUCUGCCGCUCGCCGUGCUCCUCGCACCGGCCAUCGCCCUCCCGCGCUCCUGGCCACUGUGCUGCACGCGCCCACCGGCGUCGUUCUGCAUCCCGUGCUGUUGCUCCCGCUACUCCCGGCCUCGCGCCGCGGUGCCUCGCACUCGGGCCGCACCGCACCGGCCUUUGCUGCCGCGCGCUGGCGCCCCCGCGAGGCCACGACCUCGCCUCGUGCACCCAUGGCUCCGCCUCCUGCCGUCGUCACUGGCCGUCGCCGAUGUCGGCCGCCCGCAUAUCGGCGCCCCGCCGCGCCCCUNNNNNNNNNNNNNNNNNNNNNNNNNNNNNNNNNNNNNNNNNNNNNNNNNNNNNNNNNNNNNNNNNNNNNNNNNNNNNNNNNNNNNNNNNNNNNNNNNNNNNNNNNNNNNNNNNNNNNNNNNNNNNNNNNNNNNNNNNNNNNNNNNNNNNNNNNNNNNNNNNNNNNNNNNNNNNNNNNNNNNNNNNNNNNNNNNNNNNNNNNNNNNNNNNNNNNNNNNNNNNNNNNNNNNNNNNNNNNNNNNNNNNNNNNNNNNNNNNNNNNNNNNNNNNNNNNNNNNAAAAAAAGAGUUUAACAAAUUAAUUAAUUAAUUAACUUAAUUAAUCUGUAUUAGAUUAACCUAAUCAUUUAGUUAACUAUUUAACCAUGUUUAGUUAACCUGAGACUAUGACGAACGGGCCCCACGUGCCAGGGUUAACCUAGUCAACCUGUAGAACUGCUGACAUCAUGCUUAUGUCACACUGACCCAAUAAUUACCUUUUCUAAUUAAUUAAAAUCUAUUAAUUCCAAAAUUGAAUUAAAAUUUUAAAAAUUAAUAUAAAAUUGUUGGGGAACGUAGUAAUUUCAAAAAUUUCCUACGCACACGGAAGAUCAUGGUGAUGGCAUAGCAACGAGAGGGGAGAGUAUUGUCCACGUACCCUCAUAGACCGUAAGCGGAAGCGUUAGAACAACGCGGUUGAUGUAGUCGUACAUCUUCACGGCCCGACCGAUCAAGCACCGAAACUAUGGCACCUCCGAGUUCUAGCACACGUUCAGCUCGAUGACGUCCCUCGAACUCCGAUCCAGCCGAGUGUCGAGGGAGAGUUCCGUACGCAUGACGGCGUGGUGACGAUCUUGAUGUACUACCGACGCAGGGCUUCGCCUAAGCACCGCUAUGAUAUUAUCGAGGUGGAUUAUUGUGGAGGGGGGCACCGCACACGGCUAAGAGAUCCAAGGGAUCAAUUGUUGUUGUGCCUAGAGGUGCCCCCCUGCCCCCUUAUAUAAAGGAGCAAGGGGGGAGGGGGCGGCCGGCCUAGUAGGGGCGCGCCAAGGGGAGUCCUACUCCCACCGGGAGUAGGACUCCCUCCUUCCUUGUUAGAGUAGUCGAAGGGGGAAAGAGGGGGAGAGGAGGAAGGAAAAGGGGGCCGCACCUCUUGUCCAAUUCGGACUAGAGGGGGGCUGUGCACCUCCUUCCUUUCGGCCUCUCUCCUCUAUUCCUGUAUGGCCCAAUAAGGCCCAUAUACUCCCCGGCGAAUUCCCGUAACUCUCCGGUACUCCGAAAAAUACCUGAAUCACUCGGAACCUUUCUGAACUCCAAAUAUAGUCGUCCAAUAUAUCGAUCUUUACGUCUCGACCAUUUUGAGACUCUUCGUCAUGUCCCCGAUCUCAUCCGAGACUCCGAACUCCUUCGGUACAUCAAAACUCAUAAACUCAUAAUAUAACUGUCAUCGAAACCUUAAGCGUGCGGACCCUACGGGUUCGAGAACAAUGUAGACAUGACCUAGAACUAUUCUCGGUCAAUAAUCAAUAGCGGAACCUGGAUGCUCAUAUUGGCUCCCACAUAUUCUACGAAGAUCUUUAUCGGUCAAACCGCAUAACAACAUAUGUUGUUCCCUUUUGUCAUCGGUAUGUUACUUGCCCGAGAUUCAAUCGUCGAUAUCCAAUACCUAGUUCAAUAUCGUUACUGGCAAGUCUCUUUACUCGUUACGUAAUGCAUCAUCUUGCAACUAACUCAUUAGUCACAUUGCUUGCAAGGCUUAUAGUGAUGUGCAUUACCAAGAGGGCCCAGAGAUACCUCUCCGACAAUCGGAGUGACAAAACCUAAUCUCGAAAUACGCCAACCCAACAUGUACCUUUGGAGACACCUGUAGUACUCCUUUAUAAUCACCCAGUUACGUUGUGACGUUUGGUAGCACCCAAAGUGUUCCUCCGGUAAAUGGGAGUUGCAUAAUCUCAUAGUUACAGGAACAUGUAUAAGUCAUGAAGAAAGCAAUAGCAACAUACUAAACGAUCAAGUGCUAGGCUAACGGAAUGGGUCAUGUCAAUCACAUCAUUCUCCUAAUGAUGUGAUCCCGUUAAUCAGAUGACAACACAUGUCUAUGGUUAGGAAACAUAACCAUCUUUGAUCAACAAGCUAGUCAAGUAGAGGCAUACUAGUGACACUAUGUUUGUCUAUGUAUUCACACAUGUAUUAUGUUUCCGGUUAAUACAAUUCUAGCAUGAAUAAUAAACAUUUAUCAUGAUAUAAGGAAAUAAAUAAUAACUUUAUUAUUGCCUCUAGGGCAUAUUUCCUUCAAAAACAAUCUGUAACUCGGAUGGAAAAACUUUGUACACGAAAGUUGUUCGAAACGAUGAGAUGAAUCCGGAUCUGCAGCCCGUUCGUCCGCCACACAUCCGUAGCAUAGCAAACACACAACUUUCCCCCUCCGGUUCAUUUGUUCGAAAAUAGGGAACACUGGGGAUACUUUCCCGGAUGUUUCCGCCUUCGUCGGUAUCACCUCCUACCGCAUUAGGGCAUACCUAGCAUCGCGUUUUGCCUCCUUAUGUUUUGUGAUGCUUUGAUUGCUCAGUUAUUUAUUGUGUUCCCUCUCUGUUACUUCUUUCCGAUAGACCCCGAGACUGCCGGCGACCCCCAGUUCGACUACGGUGUUGGCGACUCGUCCUUCUUGCCAGAGCAACUAGGCAAGCCCCCCCCCCUUGAUCACCAGAUAUCACCUAUUCUUCUCUCUACUGCUUGCAUUAGAGUAGUGUAGCAUGUUACUGUUCGGUUACCACUAUUCUGUUGCAUAGCAUGUCAUUGUUGCUAUAGUCAUUGAUACCUUACCCGCAAUCCUAAAUGCUUAGUAUAGGAUGCUAGUUUAUCAUCAUUGGCCCUACAUUCUUGUCAGUCUGCCUUGCUAUACUAUAGGGCCGUGAUCACUCGAGAGGUGAUCACGGGUAUAUACUAUACAUAUAUAUAUACUAUACAUAUGGUGACUAAAGUCGGGUUGGCUCGUUGAGUACCUGCAAGUGAUUCUUAUGUGGGGGCCGAAAGGACAGGUGGCUCCAUCCCGGUAAAGGUGGGCCUGGGUUCCCGACGGCCCCCGACUGUUACUAUGUGGCGGAGCGACAGGGUAGGUUGAGACCACCUAGGAUAGAGGUGGGUCUGGCCCUGUUCGGCGUUUGCGGUUGCUUCAUAAUAACACACUUAACGAGAUCUUGGUAUUUGAUCUGAGUCUGGCCACUGGCCUAUACGCACUAACCAACUACGUGGGAAAGAUAUGGGCACUCGACGUCGUGGUAUCAGCCGAAGCCUUCGUGACGUCAGCGACUGAGCGGCGCGCGCCGGAUUGGAACGUAAGCCUGCUCUUGUAUUAAGGGGGCUAGUUCUGCUUCCGGCCGCAUUCGCAACAUGCAGGUGUGCAAUGGGCGAUGGGCCCAGACCCCUGCGUGCAUAGGAUUUAGACCGGCGUGCUAACCUCUCUGUUGUGCCUAAGUGGGGCUUCGACGUGUUGAUCUUCCGAGGUCGGGCAUGACCCAGGAAAGUGUGUCCGGCCAAAUGGGAUCGAGCGUGUUGAGUUAUGUGGUGCACCCCUGCAGGGAAGUUGAUCUAUUCAAAUAGCCGUGAUCCUCGAUAACAGGACGACUUGGAGUUGUACCUUGACCUUAUGACAACUAGAACCGGAUACUUAAUAAAACACACCCAGACAAGUUCCAGAGAUAACCCGGUGAUCGCUUUCCCACAGGGGGACGAGGGGAGGAUCGCCGGGUAGGAUUAGGCUAUGCGUUGCUACUUGGAGAACUUCAAUCUACUCUCUUCUACAUGCUGCAAGACGGAGGCUGCCUGAAGCGUAGUCUUUGAUAGGACUAGCUAUCCCCCUCUUAUUCUGGCAUUCUGCAGUUCAGUCCAUCGAUAUUGCCUCUUUACACAUAUACCCUUGCAUAUGUAGUGUAGAUCCUUGCUUGCGAGUACUUUGUAUGAGUACUCACGGUUGCUUUUCUCCCCCUUUUUCCUCCUUUCCUUUCUACCUGGUUGUCGCAACCAGAUGCUGGAGCCCAGGAGCCAGACGCCACCGUCAACGACGACUCCUACUGCACCGGGGGUGCCUACUUCUACGUGCAGGCCGCCGACGAUGAUCAGGAGUAGUUUAGGAGGAUCCCAGGCAGGAGGCCUGCGCCUCUUUCGAUCUGUAUCCCAGUUUGUGCUAGCCUUCUUAAGGCAAACUUGUUUAACUUAUGUCUGUACUCAGAUAUUGUUGCUUCCGCUGACUCGUCUAUGAUCGAGCACUUUUAUUCGAGCCCUCGAGGCCCCUGGCUUGUAAUAUGAUGCUUGUAUGACUUAUUUAUGUUUUUAGAGUUGUGUUGUGAUAUCUUCCCGUGAGUCCCUGAUCUUGAUCGUACACGUUUGCGUACAUGAUUAGUGUACUAUUGAAUCGGGGGCGUCACAAGUUGGUAUCAGAGCCGACUGCCUGUAGGAAUCCCCCUUCCACACUCCUUGGCCGAAGUCGAGUCUAGUCACUACAAAACUCUAACUUGGCUGUGUGCCUUACGGGCCCACGUCGCCAUUGGGUGGUAUUAGGAUCUUUAACUCCUCGUCUAUGCUCUGGGACUCUGAUCUCUCUUCUAUUUGGGUUAAAUGAUUUUGCAAAUUCUAACUCUAGGAUCUCGUAACUACUUCCUUCCGGAGAGCCCUUAGCACAAAUGAUCGCCUGCUGCACCGAAGGAUUUCAAAGACACUCUCCGAUGUUCUCUCAAGACUUUGUGUUUGUUGCUUUUGCAAUUCCCUACCACCGAAAUAUCCCUAUGGAUAAACACAUACACUUGCCGUUCAUACCUUUAUUCCCAGUUGAUCUUGUUAUUACAAGAUACCCUGAAAUCCUCUCUAUUGUUCCGAGAAUAUUUUGUGCCUACUGCCUUGCAGUUCCUUGCCACCUGAAUACCCCUACGGAUAAUUUCUUACACCUAUCGAGUAUUCGCUCAUCCGCAGUUGAUUAAUGUAUUUCACAAAGUCUUGAAAAUACCGUUCGUUCUUCUGAAAAUCCUCAACAGCCUAAUGCUCUUGAAAUUCUUGCUUGCUAGCUUUAUGAUUAAUCCCAUAAGUCUGGUACUCUUAUUAACCUUGUCAUUAUCAUUUUGAGUCCAUUGAUUCAAUAUGUUGCGAAUGCUCGCAAUCCUCAUCAGAUCCUAGAAUUCAUCAUUCUGGCUUAGACGUCAUUUGAAACAUGAGUUGGAUCUCGACCAAUCAAACUACUGUCAAUUGUAUCCCUAUGUCUACUCAACUUAUUCAUCCUUAAACCGAGCGUUUGCUUCUGAGCCCUUGAUUUGGAAAUCAUAAUUCCUUUGCAAUUGAGCUUUGAAUUAGUUAGUUGUUUCUAUCAUCUGAUCUCCUUGCAUUCUUUCUUUCUCUGAUUGUGUGUCGAUGCUCACAUCAGCUCCGCUAUGGACUGUCAAAUCCUUUGUUGGAUUUUUAUCCAACAGCCUCCUAUAUUAUCAUUAGCCUUGUGAGACUUUUCUUGGAUACAUAAUGCCCUUGGUAAAUUGUAUCCUCUGCUUCUCAACCAUGCUCUCCUUCUGAGCUUGAGUCAUUUACCCCUGAAGUUUGUGAUAUAUGUUUCCACGAUUCCCCGAUGGGUUCAACCUAGGCCUUCCCUAAUAUGUGUGACCUCGAAAGUUUUCACGAGUCAUACUCUUCUGGUAUUUUGGUAGAUAAAAUUUCAACAUUACAACUUCUUCGGAAAUGAGGAGUGAAUGGGUUAUGCAUUAGAGAAGUGGGAGUCGACCUUGAACUUUGUGUUCAUGCCCAUGGACACGAUGUAGAUCCUAUCAUGGAAGCUUCUUGUAAUAAUAACUAUUUCCUUGAUAGAUAUCAUCUGGUAUCUGUGAAUUGAUCCUUUGCAACCGUGGUUCAGACCAUGAUUGUUCUCCUUUGAUUCUAUUUCUUGGACAAGUUAAAGUACUUGCCUUCUGCAGAUCAGUACGCUUUCCCAACCUCUAUUUUGUUCUACCUUCGAGUAUUACCCCCUGGUAUCUCAAGGAUAUCAACCCAUUGCACUUCAUCUUAAGAAUUUCUAAUGAAGUAGUACCUUUCCCCAUCAUAGUCACUCCACGGGUUCUGGGUUGUCGUCAACCGAGAACACCGAUUUAUGAAUCGAGUCAACACUGAGAUUCGGUACUCCCAGUACUUUGUUGUUGAGAAGUUUAAUACUCCAUGACGUCACUCCUAGCCUGAUCGGCUACAUCAUUAUCGUGCUAAUUUUAACUGUGCUGUCGGGUCCUUAAUUCCGGAGCACUACUUUCAACGAUGAGCUAAGCUUAUGUCGAUCUUCCUUGUCUUAUCAUUUCACCUCGAACAACAAGCUUGAUUCCGAGUUGGUGUCGUAUCUGUGGUUCAAAUACUCUUUUGUUGCUUUAGUCCUUUUUGCUUGAUGAAGUCGCUAUUCGAUUGCUUCUUCAUGGAGGCUCUCGACAAAAUUUGUCGUGAUUAUGGUCAAGAUUUUGACUCCUUCCAGGAUACCAAUCGAAUUCAUGAUGAGAAAUAACAUCCUUGCCCCUCAAUGAUUUGUGUUAUCAUCGACAACAUUUUGCCUUCCCCCCAACACAAACUUGUUCCUGUUUUGUGUUAUACCUAGAGAUCCUUUCUAUCCAACUUAUGUUAUGAUUCUAUCUUGGAGUAUUGCUAUCUUUUAUGUCAAGAAUGUCAUGGGAAAUUCACCACCAUUAAGAAUUCUUGAUACAAGUGAUACUUAUUAACAUCACCAUUCUUUUCUUGGUCCCCGUGUUGUUUCUAACCGGAAUACCGACAAAUGGUCUUUGAUGUGUAAAUUCUAAACUUCUCGCAACCCUAUUGCUUUGAAGUUAUUGAUCUAUAGUUUCAUUCUACAUCUAUGGCUUAUUGAAUCAUCAUUUGAACAUUGAUCGUGCUACCUAGCCAAUAUUUCGAGUGCACAUUUCAACCAAUGUUUAACUGUGUAUGUUUUCCUCGAGCAUACAUCAUUAAGUCAUUUGAUCUAGCUAAUGUCAUCUCCUUGUUCACAUAGUUGUGAAAAUCCAUCUUUUUGGAAAUCUCAAUGGAUUGUCACUGAGUCAAUCAGUCACCUCCUCACCUCUCCUUGAUUUAAUGGUGAACCCUUGUUCGGAACUCGCUUCCAUAGUUCAUUUUCCGAGAAUCAUAUAAUGUUGUCUCGUCAAUUGUGUUGCACCUCUUCUUCUCAGGCAUCCUGAGUGUGAGGUAUCCUGACACCAAUCAGACCUGCAUCUUGGUCAGACAUGAUGGUUGGAACAUAUUCCCAAGAGUUAUAACAUUGGUCUUUAACCCGAUAAGGUGAUGUCAUGCCUAGCACACCUGGCCGGAGGACCUGUUGUUAUAGUUUCCUUUUUUAGCAAGGUUAGCCAUUCUUCCAUGAGGAAAUUGUAAGACUUAUUAUAUAAGUUGUUCCUGAUGGAUCCUUUGUGUAUCGAAAGUCUGACCUUACUUGACGACCAUGUCAAUGCUAUCUCGAAGCAUGUCGGUGGUACACUGAUUUUCAACAAGAACAUUUGAAGCCCAAUGCUAAAUGUUUCCUGCUCAAUUAUCGAAACACCACUGUCAAGGAAUUUCUCUCCCCUUUCCUAAAGGGUUUUCUACGUAAUAUCCCGUCAUGGAUAUCAUGCGCUGCUUGCCCUUGGGAAGGAUAUACCCCUGAAAUAAGUGUUUAAACACAUUUUCCUUUCCAUUGUUCUGUUUAAUCUGAUGAUCACCUUUUCCGUUCCAUUAUUUUGUUUAAUAUUUCUUGUGAUAUAUAUGAUCUAAGCAGUAAUAAUUCACUGCUUAUGUAAACACCUUGGUGUACUACUUUGUCAAUAAGACCCUGUUACUAUUGUUGAUGGCAUUCCGGUAGCCACCGAGGGACGAGAACCUUGCCUAUUGGUCCACCUCAUUCAACGAGCAAGACAAUGGUUCUCUUCGUCCCCCGCCCUUGGUACCGACAUUGUUGCCGACAUAGCUGACAAGCUAUCCAUUGACAUGCCUCCCUGUCGCGGUUGUGCAAGAUGUCACCACCCUUCCUACUUUCAACCCACAUGGUGGGCCCAUAACCCACAGGUCCACUGGAUCGAAAUCUAACUCUUCUUUACAACCCGGAUUCUAAUGUAUCCUUUGCACCUGGCUUCGUAUGUGAUUCACGAGCUAAAUGCUAUACCAUUAUUCAUCCUGGAAUUAAAUGCCAUGUUAUUUUGAUUGUUCAAACCCCCAUUCCAGCUUCUGUCUAGUCAUCGAAUGAUUGCCUACCCGUUAGAAACUUUGGUACCAUCGUAUAUUGCACUCAGUGAAUUCAUUGAAAUACGACUCGUGGGGUACCUUGUGUAUUUCCCAUUGAGUUCACCGUCAGAUGCCCAGCUUUGUGGAGAUGCAUUCUUCUGGAGUUUUUCCCCCUUGGUCACAUUCGUAGGACGAUGGAGAUCCCGAUAAAAGGAUGACAACUUGAUCAUGGUGACUUGAAGCAGAGAAAUGAAGACAUCAACGCAAUGGAUUGAUCUCUUCGAAAAGAGAAACCAAGACCAAGAACACUCGCUAGAAUUUCGUGUCCCGAAGCGUACCCCUUUACUCCAUCUCUUAAAUCUCGGGACGAGAUUUCUUGUAGUAGAGGAGAAUUGUGACACCCGGAUAAUCAAGCUACACUAACCCUCUACUAAUGAUGCCACGUCACCUCCAUUACGGUUACUAAUCUCGCAUUAGUUCGAAACCGAUUCAAAUCCAAAUUCAAAAUCAAAAAAAUAAUAAAAGUUUUCCAAUCUUAAAACUAAAAUGUUCGGAGUGAGCCAGAUGCAUAUGUAAUUAUGGAGGAGAAACCAACCUCUUUGGAAGUGUUUGAUUGUCCUAAAGUAAAUAAAAUAGUAGCAAAACAAUUAACUAAAUGCCUUUUACGAUUGAUAAAAUAUUAAACUAUUUUAUCUAGUUGCCCAAGUUUUUGUGGCAUUAGAAUAUGUAGUAACACUAUUUUAGGAACUAACUUUAUAUUUUACUAAAACUAAAGUAUAUUGGAAAUAAUAGAAAACAGUAAAGGAAAAAUAAGUGAAAAGAAAAGAAUAAAACAGAAAGCAAAAAUUAAAGAAAAGGACCCCUGCCAACUGGGCCAGACGGCCCAGCCGGCCAACCAACCAACCGUCCCAACCCCCCUCCAUAUCCCCACCAGGGGGAAACCCUAACUCCCCCUACCGCACACCCCCCCACUCCCCACGUCUCUCUCCCCGAUCCAGAUCGGGAUCGGGGGAGCGAACCCCCACAUCGCCCCCGACGCUAGCGCCACCCGGAUCGCCACCUCGCCGGAGGCCACGACGCCGGAGCUCCCUCGCCGGCCUGCUUCCUCCUCCCCACCGGCCUACCUCCUCUUCGCCGCCUCGUCCCCGACCCCCUCCUCGACCCCGUUGCCUCGUCCUCCGCUAUCCACGGUGAGGCCCUCGGCCUCUUCUUCCCCUCUCCGCCGCUCGGCAUGCUCCUCGCACCGGCCAUCACCCUCCCGCACUCCUGGCCACUGCGCUGCACGCGCCCACCAGCGUUGUUCGGCAUCCCGCACCAUUGCUGCCACUACUCCCUGCCUCGCGCCGCGGUGCCUCGCACUCGGGCCGCACCGCACCGUGAUACGUCUCCAACGUAUCUAUAAUUUUUGAUUGCUCCAUGCUAUAUUAUCUACUGUUUUGGGCAAUAUUGGGCUUUAUUAUCCACUUUUAUAUUAUUUUUGGGACUAACCUAUUAACCGGAGGCCUAGCCCAGAUUUACUAUUUUAUGCCUAUUUUAGUGUUUCGAGGAAAAGGAAUAUCAGACGGAGUCAAAACGGAAUGAAAUCAACUAGAGAAGUUAUUUUUGGAAGGAAACCCACCUAAUGGACUUGGACCCCACGUCACAAGAUACGGGAGGUGCUCACGAGGGUGGGGGCGCGCCCACCCCCUAGGGCAGGCCCCCCUGCCUCGUGGGGCCCCCAAAGCUCCACCGACGUACCCCUUGCACCCAUAUAUACCUACGUAUCGUAAAACUUCCAGAACAGAAGAUAGAUCGGGAGUUCCUCCGCCCCAAGCCUCUGUAGCCACCAAAAACCAAUCGGGACCCUGUUCUGGCACCCUGCCGGAGGGGGAUCCCAUCACCGGUGGCCAUCUUCAUCAUCCCGACGCUAUCCAUGACGAGGAGGAAGUAUUACACCCUCGGGGCUGAGGGUAUGUACCAGUAGCUAUGUGUUUGAUCUCUCUCUCUCAUGUUCUCUCUCGUGUUCCCUCUAUGGCACAAUCUUGAUGUAUCCCGAGCUUUGCUAUUGUAGUUGGAUCUUAUGAUGUUUCUCCCCCUCUACUCUCUUGUGAUGAAUUGAGUUUCCCCUUUGAAGUUAUCUUAUCGGAUUGAGUCUUUUAUGAGAACACUUGAUGUAUGUCUUGCCAUGAUUAUCUGUGGUGACAAUGGGAUAUCAUGUGCCACUUGAUGUAUGUUUUGGUGAUCAACUUGCGGGUUUCAUGACAUUGGGAACCUAUGCAUAGGGGUUGGCACACGUUCUUGACUCUCCAAUAGAAACUUUGGGGCACUCUUUGAAUUACUUUGUGUUGGUUCGAUGAAUCUGAGAUUGUGUGAUGCAUAUUGUAUAAUCAUGCCCAUGGAUACUUGAGGUGACAAUGGAGUAUCUAGGUGACAUUAGGGUUUUGGUUGAUUUGUGUCUUAAGGUGUUAUUCUAGUAUGAACUCUUUUAUAGAUUGAUCCGAAAGAAUAACUUUGAGGUGGUUUCAUACCCUACCAUAAUCUCUACAUUUGUUGUCCGCUAUUAGUGGCUCCGGAGUGACUCUUUGUUGCAUGUUGAGGGCUUGUUAUAUGAUCUAUCUAUGUUAUUAUUGUUGAGAGAACUUGCACUAGUGAAAAUAUGAACCCUAGGCCUUGUUUCCUAUCAUUGCAAUACCGUUUACGCUCACUCUUAUCAGUAGUUACCUUGCUGUUUUUAUUAUUUCAGAUUUCAAAUACCUUUAUCUACCUAUUAAAGUUGCUCGUCAGCCGACACCACACCCGAAGAGUCGGCAAGAAAUGCAUAUAUUUGGAAACUCAGCUAAACAGAAUGGAAUUGUCAGCAGACUGCAGUGAAAUAGAAAAUAGCUCGUCUGGAUGCAAAAGAAAUCCUGGGUGGACCGUCAGUAUCAAGUUUAGAUUAGCGUGCACUCAUCACAACAAAAUGAUUAAAUCAGCAAGAAGAUAAAUUGUGUGCAAGGAUGACAGAAUAUUAUCAAAGGUAUGGCUCAGAUACAAGUUUAAUUUUUCGUUGAGGAUGGUUUUGGAACUCGAUGUACCUGGAAGCAAGCAAAAAUAUGGCAUAUACUCAGAAAGGAGGAUAGUCCAGUAAAACCCUGUUUCAUGCAAGAAAUCAAUAGCAAAAAUAUUUAGAUGGUUAUAUAUGUGGAAAUCGGUCCGCAUACCACAAUAAGAAGUUUCUGGUGUAAGCAACCCACUUUUCCCUCGCAAGAUACCAGAGAAGCUUCCAAGGCAAGAUUCAUCUAUCUUACUCAGUAUGAUACAUGGAUGACUUCUCGCGCAAGGUACUCUGCCUUCUUCAGUAAGCAACCGCAAAAGCUUCCAGCAUAAGGUACUGAGUCUUUCCCCAGCAAAGUCUUUAAGGGGGUAAGCUUCUGAAGCACGAUACCCAGUCUUCUUCAGCAAGCUGUCCGAUGAAAGUUUUGAGCACAAGCAAGCCAAUCUUCGUAAGUAAGACAUUGGUACAAGGUAGUACGCUGUGAAUUGACAGCAUAUGGCAGUGAAUCCCAAGAAUCAGAUCCGCAACAUUUUGGUCGGAGUCAAGAAUCAGUCAGAAUACAUGUCUGUCUCGGAAUCAGGUCCUCAUAUAUAUGCAAUGAGCAUACCAUCAAGAUCUUACAAGUCACUUGGAUGAGGAUGUGACAAAGUAUUAUGAGGAUUGACGACAUCAAUGAGCUCAAUACAAGUACCCAUGAACCUGGAAAAUGAUCCUGAUGAGCCCUUGUCCCCCUUUUCUCCAAUGACGGCACCACGCCUGUGAUUUGAGCUAUUUUCUAGCUAUCCGGGGUGGAUGCCGAUUUUUGUUUCUCUCUUCAACAACUGUCACGAGUUUGAGCUGCUUUUCGGCCAUCUCGUACAGCUGUUGAGUUUCUUUUUGUGACAGUAGCCCUAUAGCUGCUUUUUGGCUAUUUUAGGGAGCUGCCACCUUCUUCUUAUCGACCCGGUCUCAUGCUCUGAGCUGCUUUUUGGCCGUCCUGAGCCAUGGUUGAGUUAUUCCAGUAAUGUCCCAAGAUUUGAGUUGUAAAGACCGUUCUAGUGGCUACUGAUUUAUUUGCCGAUUUCUUGCAAAAGUUUUGGAUGAUCAUUUUCCUGCGAUCAGAAAAUAAGAGGUGUUGAACCUGCCAUUUAAUGGGUUACCCUGUCAGAAAAAUGAGGAUAAGCUAAAAUUUCCGUAAAAUUGCACCGACAUUACCUAUGGUCAUACGAAGAAGCAAUAUGGCCCAGCUCUUUCAACCAAAUAUCCAGACCAAGAAAACAAUAAUGAAGGAGCAAGACCAGUGAUGCGGGUAUGAAAAUUGUACACGACCCCCAUGGUGCAGAUCCCCCGGACAGUCUAAGUCAGUAUUGAUCCACAUGGAUAUGCCUACAGCAUGAGUAAUGGGCAUGAGGAAUAACCAUCUGGAAGCGUGAGUCCUCACUUAUAUGAAUCAUCAUGGAUAGCCUAUCAUGAACAAAAUUUUUCCGUCAGAACCACCGUCAGUCAAGUCUACAGAUAUUAUCAUACACGCCAAAUCCUUUAUGCUGGCCGCGACAGGAGACAAUCAAAUAUUUGGUACGGAUCCAAUACUCUCGACAGUGGAACCGGUUAAGAUGAUUGAAAAACUUCUGCGAUGAGUCAGAAUCUGUCAGGCAAUGGUUAUGUUUUAACUCACUGUUUGGAACCCAAAGGAUCUGCAUUUAGUGGAGAAACCCAAUGCAAUGAGUCAGAGCUUGAGUUUUCAUUAGAAAAAUCUGAUCAUCAUUACAUGAAAGGUCAUCACUGCCGGGUGGCACACCCAGUGGAAAUCACUUUUGGAUUUGUGAGACGGACAUAUAUUUUUCAGUUGUGAUAAUCAAAUCACACUCAGCUAGUCAGUAGAUCUAAAAAGAAAUUGGAGCCUAUGUAAGCAUGAACAAGCAAGGUAAGAUCUGUCAGAAGGAGGAUACAGUGAAUCAAACCACCCCAGGGCCAGUCAGAUAAAAAUUUAAUGGGAACAACAAUAAAAUAAAAAGGAUACCCGAGAUGGAAACGGUUUCCUUAAGUCAGAAUAUUCAUACUUGUUCCCUGAGCAACCAAAUCUCGAGGACGAGAUUUCUUUAAGGGGGUAAGGUUUGUGACAGCCUGAUUUUUGGCCCUUUCUUUUCCUUUUGUUUUUCCAAGGUUUUUGCCUGAGUUUUUCUUUUUCAUGGCUUUGUGGUCUAGAAACUGAAGAAGAUGCCCUCUUCUUUGCUUCCAGAGUGGCUUGUCAUGUCCAAAUCCUUCCCUAGACCCUGUCAUUUCCAUCCUAGCCCAAAUCCCAAUAUUCCUUUAUUGGGAAUAUUCCUUUUCUAUUAAAGGAAUAACUCAGAUUGCCCUAGGUUGUGAAGCAACCUAUAUUUCCCUCACUCCUAAAAUUCCCAAAUAAUUCUCAUAAUUCCUUUGGGUCAUAUAUAGCUCAAAUAUGCCCAAACAUUGCCUUGGCCAGUUCAGAAAUAAUUCCCCAAUAUUCCUUUUUCUAUUCUGCCCUGAAUGGCACUUUGUGAAGGAAGUGUCAUUUAUAUUUAUCCUAGUGGCUCCCAACCUUUUUGGUCAUGUUGAUAUGCCAAAAUAAUUGCAUUAUGCACAAGUUCAAAUUUAUUUGCCUAGCCAAUCUUCCUGAGGGAAUUUUCAAAGUUUCUGUCAAACAGAAGGCUUUGUGAAGGAAGUACUAGCUAGGAGUAUCCAAAUGAGAUGAACUUUUGCACACUCCUUAAUGUGCUCAUGUUAACCCCUUCCACCAAUUUGCAGCCCCAUCAAAUUAUGUAUGUGAGCACAGGAGCAAAUCUUUUAUUCUGGCGAUAUUUUCAGGUUGUGAAGCAACUGCAUUUUGUAUUGCUUUAAAAAUCCUGAUAAAUUACCAGAUCAUUAUUCUACCCAUAAAGAAUCUCUCCACCCAAUUUGGAAUCAUCUCAUUGACCCAUUUCAUCACCAUAAUUAUUCCAAGUUUCUGGACAGAAAUGAUGUUUGUGAAGCAAGUGCCAUUUUGGCUUGUCCAUUUGGCAUGAGCUUUUUACAACAUCUUUAUAUGUCCAUAUCAUGAGGAUUUUCCAAGUUGCAUCCCAUUCCAUAACUCCAUGUGAGAGCAUCAUCAUGAUCUUCAUUUCUGGACCAAAAAUGCAGUUGUGAAGCAACUACAGUAAAUCUGGAUCCAUUUACCCCCAAAACCUCCAGGAUGAAAGUCCUUCGAUAGAUAAACCUCCCAGACAAGCUAUUUACUGAGUUACCUAGCUGGUGUCCCCACUGCACAGCACAAACACCUGGCUGCUAAUUUACUUUGGAGCUAAGUGCAAAUCACUUCUUUGCCCCUGGAACGAUUUGUUUCCUUAUUUAUACUUAGGUCACUAGGGUCAUUCCACUGGACAUGGUCGACCCGGCCAGAACACGCCAUUUGCACCAGAGCCCGUGGUGAUCACGUUGGCGUCACGCUCAUUUCAUGGUCUGGCUGGUUCCUGACAUUGUUCUCGUCUCCUUCCUCCUCAUCUCGACCUCCAACCAUGUCUAGUAGCUGCCCCGUGAGCCUCUGCAUCGCCCUGUGCCUCUUCCUCGUAGCCGUUCGCCAUAAAUGAGUCGCUAGCUCCACGCCCGUGCCACGUCCAGCCUCUACCCGCCAUUAAAGCUUGGUCGGGAGCUCGCCCGUGAGCUCCAGAAGCCUCCCCUCGGCCUAUAUAAGGACCCCUAGACUCCUCCGCAGCUCCCAAGCCCCUCCUUGUCCCUCCUAGUCCACCGGAGCAAUGGCAUCUCGCCGGAGUUCGCCUCUGUCCUCCAUGGAUGCCUCGGCCUCGGCGUGAUUCCGGCCAACCCAGGCCUCCCCUCGUCCCCCCACCACCUCCAAAGCCUCCCCCUCGUCCUGCUGAGUCGCCCCACCCACUUGCCCCUUGUCGGAGUAGCCCGCAUCACCGAUAGCCACCGCCGGCGCUCGCCUUCUGUCCUCCUCGAGUCGCCGCCCUGCGCCGCCGUUCCAGGCCUCCCGGCGGCCGCUCUUCGCCUAAAUGGAUGCGGCUGGGCGUUGCGCACCCGUCGGUGCCUUCGGUCGGGCCGGGGAUCACUGGAGCCGGCCGGCCCCUUGGCCGCUCCCCUCCCCUGCCCCGCUCUGUUCCACGGGAGGAACAGAGGCGCAGGAGGAACAGGACGACCUCGCUGGCCCCUCCCCCUGCCCCUGGGCCCCACGCGCCAGUGGCCCAGGCGCCUCAGCCCACGUUGCAAGUGGAAACGUAUUCGAUCGUGUACGCUUUCAAUUUUCUGUCCAGGCCCCUCUUUGAAAAUCUUUUCAUUGCAGAUAGGUCCCUGGUAGAAAAACAUCCACAACUUUUUAACCGUAGCUCCAAAUGAGGUGAUUCCAAAUCCUACUUCUUUGUUUCAUUGAGCCCGUUCUGUUGGUCAAGCUUUCGCUAUGGUUUAAUCCGAGAGAGAACGUUUUAUGGCGAUUCGUUCCGCGAGUUUCUCGCACUUCUCCCCGGUGAUUUCUUCCACCCCAGGCAAGCCACAAUACCCACUUGCAUGAUAGUCAUGCAGUAGCCAUGGUUUUCAACUUGAAUCUUUAUUAAAUGUUUGCUUGUUGAAAAGAUGGUUAUCAUUGUUCCAGUAAUGUUUAGAUUUGCAUGACCACUUUUGUGCUAUGUUAUCUUGUACUCUGUUAUCAUGUUCUACCUUCUACUAUUUCCUUUCAUAUGUUUAUGCUUGCUAGUAGUACAUGUUGAUGUUGGUGAUGGUCAUGCUAGUCAGUAUGCCAUGCUCAGUGGAUAUGAUUUAUUGUCGAUAUGGUGGAUAGUUAUGUGAUACACUCAUGAUUAUGUUGAUAUCAUGUUCAUGCAUUUUAUCAUGGCUUAGCAUAUUUGCAUUCAAGUUAACCGGAUUAAAUUGAACUUGAGCAACUGUUGGCUGAGUCAUGGUGCCGCUGAAUCGAUGCUGAUCAGUGCAACCACGCUUACUGGUAUGGGACGGUCCUAACUGGGUCUAUUGUCGUGCCUCUCACCGGUGCCUCCAACGAGGGAAGUUUAUGGGCGCGCGCUACCCUGAUCAGGUAGGCGGACAUAAGCCUUGUGUGCCCGUUGUUGUUGUUAUGUGCACAUGUCCCCGUUUUGGACGGUUUAUUGUUUUGGGCCACGACGGUGGUCGUUGUGUCUUGAGGUAGACACGGGGCCACCCAUGACUUAGCCCAGUGGGGAGUCAGUCGGAGUGGUCGGGAGAGUGUCAUGGCAGUAGGACGGUUUUGUGAGAACGUCGUUGGUCCACCCGAAUGGGAGUGCGAGGCCAUGGGUUCCAUAGUGUGGGUACAGUGUACUAACCUUUGCAGAGUGUAUAUUAAAUCUAUCGAUAGCCGCACCCGCGGAUAAGGGCCCAGUCCAAAAGUAGGGUACACCAUGAGUCAACAGUAAUAAGAAUAACUUGAUUUAUGACAACUCGUGGUUGUGAUUGCCGUAAGGAUCACGGUUUGAGACCAAGUGUGGGUCGGGGUUGUGAUCGCCGUAAGGAUCACGGUGGUAUCGAGGAUACCGAGGCGUUGUAUAUUUGUGAUAUUGUGCAAUAAUCGUGGGUAAUGAUCAAGCUCCUUGUGGUCAUUUACUGAUCGCUACGGUAUUGUUUAUACCAAGCUUGAUUUGAUCCUGAGAUGAUCGUGUGAUGUCCGAGGUGGGUAAGUGAUGCAUGUGACGGUUACCAAGUAACCCGAGCAAAAUAAGUGGUGCAUAUAGUGUCAUCAUGUUGCAUGCUAGUAUUGUUGGAUUAAUAUGUUCAUGUUGUGUUAGCUAUAUCAUGUUCAUGUUAUAUUGUUCUAAUGAUAUCAUGAUAAUCCCUGCUUAACCUGUAAUUGUCAUGCUGUUGUUUGCCUUGAAUGCUUCUGGUUAUUGUGAGCUUGCAAGUACAUUCAAUGUACUGACCUGGUGUGUCAUGCCAGUUUGCAGGUCAUUCCGGAUUUGAUUGCUUGUUUGCCGUGGAGUCCUUGUUUGCGAGCUAGGAUAAGCGUUCCAGCCAGAGUCCCUGCAGAGUGGAGUUCACCACCGUCGUCGUUGUUCCGCUGCUAGAGUUCUUCCGCUGCAUCAUGUUG
RNAcentral lists this long non-coding RNA (19603 nucleotides) under Triticum aestivum (bread wheat). RNAcentral describes it as "long non-coding RNA (TAES_LNC027008)". Lineage: Eukaryota; Viridiplantae; Streptophyta; Magnoliopsida; Poales; Poaceae. The record is from RNAcentral.